This is a long non-coding RNA of Coffea eugenioides, 521 nucleotides long. RefSeq lists it as uncharacterized. The record is from RefSeq and is a predicted model, not a curated record. The transcript is spliced from 4 exons. Lineage: Eukaryota; Viridiplantae; Streptophyta; Magnoliopsida; Gentianales; Rubiaceae.
CCAACCUUACAUUUCUUUCGUCUGCCUCCCUAGAGCAAGACUCGUCAGUGAAAAGAGAAGGGAGAAGACAAGAAAGUACAAAGAGGAAUCUCUACACCAUCAACAUCCAAACCAAUACAAGAAUUUACGAUGGAAUAUGUCAGUGCAAAUGGUAUCGAGCACCAAAAUUAUUGUGUGAAUUCUGUGGAUUGCACAACCACAACUGGUGUAUCAUUUGUGGGUUGCAUAUUCAUGGAAUGGAUGGAUUGGAAGCCUUUGUUUCCUGGAAGAGAUCAUAUACAUAAGCUACGUAUUCUUGUGAAGGCUUUCUUAUUUGGAGGUUUGAAGCAAGUUUAAGGGCGCAUUAAGAAUUUUCUCAAGAGAGCAGUUUGAGAUUCUGAAGAGUAUGAAUUGGUUUACGUAGAAGACCCUGAGGAUGACUUUUAUUAGUUUUAGAUGAAAAGAAGUUGGCAAGCUAGCUACUUCUAGUUGUUAGUUUUAUUUACCUUUGUUCCCGCUGUUUCAAUUUGAGAAUAAAUAUA